ACAAGAGUAAGUUGAGACUGGAAGAAAAAGCACUUCCAACAGUCCCUACCGCAGUGUGGAAGCUGGGAAGUCCAUGCGUGGCGUUCGUCCGGAGCCGCUUUUCUAGGAGUGGGAGGGCAAUAGGCGGGGCACGGGCGUGUCGGGGGGCGUUCCGCAGGUGCGACCAGGUAAAUCUUGGUCUCUUCAGAUUGACAUCACCUGGCGCAUGCCUAGUCGGUCUGCACCUUCCCGGGUCGCCGGCUGCAUUUUCGCCCGCGCGGGAAAAGUUGGGGGGGGUGAUGAAGAACCCGGAAGUGCACCAUCUUGCCUCCGUUCAUCCAAACAGAAAAUGGGUAAAAGUGAAGAAGUCUUUAAGAAGUCUUGGAAAGCAAUCAUCAUCUCUCUGUUGAGUCUGCUCGGAUGUCUCACAAUGGUGUUCUGUCUAAAUCUGGGACUAAGGCACUGAUGAAGAGUGUAACUCUUGUUCCUCAGAAUCUGUCUGUGUUGGAAUAUGCAAGGAUUUAUUCAUCAUUACAUGAUCUAUUGUCACUUCAGACAGUUGAAAUGUGUGGUUCCCUUGGCUGUGAGUGCAAAGCUCUUUAUAAGUAAACGACCUUUCAGUACAGAGUUAGAAGGAUGCACAUGAAGCAAAGUUAGCCAUGUUGCACAUGGCCAGGUGUCACUCCCUUCCCAGCAUUCAAGAACAAAAUGAGAGUAAAGAUAUAAAAUCACUCUUUGAUACUGAAAUGGGAAAAGUUCCCUUAUCCACCUCACAGGGCACGCGAUGGGAGUGGGUUCCUUCUCCAGUGCCCCACUGCUCACACCUCUAGGAGAGCAUACACACAGGCAGGUUGCGGAGCGCUGACCCCAUGGCAGUGUCUAGGGGUGAAUGUUUACAGCUCCUGAGGCCCCCGUGAGCUUGUGUUACAGUGUGCUCUUUCAGUUUUGGCGUCCGAAGGUGGCUUGUGUCAAUCAGCUUAGUUAGAUCCUCUGCCUUAUUGCAAGGACAGAGGGCUUUCUGUAUCCCAGGUUCUUGCCUUAGCAUACCAGAAAAAUCAGAUCACACGUGGGCUUGGAGAAUGAGUGCAAAGUUUAUUAUUGAGUGAUGGUGGCUCUCAGCAAGGUGGAUGGGGAGGCCAGAAGGGGAAUGGAGUGGGAAAGUGGUUUUCUCCUGGAUUUGGGGUGCUCUGUGGCUGCACUCUCGUUAGACCACCUGGCCAGAUUCCCAUUCAUGUCAUUCCACUGCGGAUGGUCUACCGGCGUCUGCUGGUGCCUGUAGGCGUGCUAAUGUGGUUUUUAUAGGCACAGGAUGGGGAUGUGGCAGGCCAGGGUAUUCUUGGGAAAUGCAACAUUUGGGCAUGAAAACAAAAAUGCCUGUCCUCACCCGGGUUCAUGGGUACAGGCCUCGGGGGAGCCCUCACCAGAGACCCGCCCUUCUCUACCCAGCACUUCCCUGCCUCCCUCCUGUAUCAAUACCACAAGUUAACAACAGCCAAGAUUAGUUCAAGCUAAGAUGGGUUCAGGGUAGAAACGCAGGAAAAUUCCAACAAAUGUUGCUGUGAAAAGCUCUAAUAAAUACAGCCUUUA
Molecule: long non-coding RNA, 1566 nt
Filed under: Rhinopithecus bieti (black snub-nosed monkey)
Lineage: Eukaryota; Metazoa; Chordata; Mammalia; Primates; Cercopithecidae
Description: lncRNA (ENSRBIG00000046501.1)
Source: RNAcentral